UACGGGGGGGGCAAGCGUUGUUCGGAAUUACUGGGCGUAAAGGGCUCGUAGGCGGCCAACUAAGUCAGACGUGAAAUCCCUCGGCUUAACCGGGGAACUGCGUCUGAUACUGGAUGGCUUGAGUUUGGGAGAGGGACGCGGAAUUCCAGGUGUAGCGGUGAAAUGCGUAGAUAUCUGGAGGAACACCGGUGGCGAAGGCGGCGUCCUGGACCAACACUGACACUGAUGAGCGAAAGCCAGGGGAGCAAACGGG
Molecule: ribosomal RNA, 253 nt
Filed under: uncultured bacterium
Lineage: Bacteria
Description: partial 16S ribosomal RNA
Rfam family: Bacterial small subunit ribosomal RNA
Source: RNAcentral